This is a long non-coding RNA of Drosophila obscura, 540 nucleotides long. RefSeq lists it as uncharacterized. Lineage: Eukaryota; Metazoa; Arthropoda; Insecta; Diptera; Drosophilidae. The record is from RefSeq and is a predicted model, not a curated record. The transcript is spliced from 3 exons.
ACAAAAGAAAACACAAACAAAAAUCAGAAGAAAAAAAUCUUCACCAAGAACCAACAGAAAAACAAAUCGUCAAAAACCUGCUUCGUUUUUGCAUUGACAUUCUGGUUUUUUUUUUUUUGGUUUUGAUGUAAUUUUUUUUAUAUCAGUGUGCAAAUGAGAGAGCAAAAACAGUUUUAACAACAACAACAAUAAAAAGUGCUUCAACAAUUCUAACGCUCUGCUCUGCUGCCAGCCGCAUUGGCAGAUUGUCAACGCUUUCAUUUGACGUUGUUUAGCCAUACCGUGCGCGUCGUCGUCCACUGUCGUCGUCGCCGUCGCUGUCGCCGUUUGUCGUCUCGUCGCAGACGACGUCACAGUCUAAAAAGUUGCGUCAGUUCAGCCAAACAAAAAAAAUUUAAAAAAAAAAACCAAAAACAAGAAAACAACAAAAAUACAGCCAAAAGACUAACUUUUGCGGGAUUAUUUUUUUACAAGUGCCUAAAAAAUACUUUUUACAAAAACCCAAACAGCAGCCACAGCCACACAGCAACAACGUUAACA